GGGGAGAGAGAAAUGACACCAAAGAAAAAAAAAGGAAAAGAAAUGAAUGGGACUAGGAGUUAGAUGAAAAGAGCAACUAAAGGAGUUUAAUCUAGAUUAUUUGAAAAAUCCAAAGAAUCAUGUAGUUGAAUCAAAAUGUAAUUUUCAUCUAAUAUUCUGUUCAAUCUCAUUUCACAUCAAUUCAAAUCAACUGGUUUUUGAAUCGUG
RNAcentral lists this unclassified non-coding RNA (207 nucleotides) under Hevea brasiliensis (rubber tree). The record is from RNAcentral. Lineage: Eukaryota; Viridiplantae; Streptophyta; Magnoliopsida; Malpighiales; Euphorbiaceae.